This 439-nucleotide ribosomal RNA is filed under the name uncultured bacterium. Its description in RNAcentral is "partial 16S ribosomal RNA". It matches the Rfam family "Bacterial small subunit ribosomal RNA", at positions 338 to 795 of the family's 1533-position model. The record is from RNAcentral.
CCUACGGGUGGCAGCAGUGGGGAAUAUUGCACAAUGGGCGAAAGCCUGAUGCAGCAACGCCGCGUGAGCGAUGAAGGCCUUCGGAUCGUAAAGCUCUUUCGUCAAGGAAGAUAAUGACGGUACCUAAGGAGUAAGCACCGGCUAACUACGUGCCAGCAGCCGCGGUAAUACGGAGGGGGCAAGCGUUACCCGGAAUGACUGGGCGUAAAGGGCGCGUAGGUGGGUUCUUAAGUCAGAGGUGAAAGGCUAUGGCUUAACCGUAGUAAGCCUUUGAAACUGGGGAACUUGAGUACGGGAGAGGUAGGUGGAAUUCUUAGUGUAGCGGUAAAAUGCGUAGAUAUUAAGAGGAACACUAGUUGCGAAGGCGACUUUCUAGAAUGUAACUGACACUGAGGCACGAAAGCGUGGGGAGCAAACAGGAUUAGAUACCCGUGUAGUC